RNAcentral lists this ribosomal RNA (253 nucleotides) under uncultured bacterium. Its description in RNAcentral is "partial 16S ribosomal RNA". It matches the Rfam family "Bacterial small subunit ribosomal RNA", at positions 524 to 776 of the family's 1533-position model. The record is from RNAcentral.
UACGGAGGGUGCAAGCGUUAUCCGGAUUCACUGGGGUUAAAGGGUGCGUAGGCGGGCAGGUAAGUCCGUGGUGAAAUCUCUGAGCUUAACUCAGAAACUGCCAUGGAUACUAUUUGUCUUGAAUAUUGUGGAGGCAAGCGGAAUAUGUCAUGUAGCGGUGAAAUGCUUAGAUAUGACAUAGAACACCCAUUGCGAAGGCAGCUUGCUACACAAUGAUUGACGCUGAGGCACGAAAGCGUGGGGAUCAAACAGG